AACCUUCAAGUUUAUAACAUCUUUUUUUCCUCUCAAGUUGUAUCUUAUAAUAUGAUAAUAGUUGUGGAUCAAGGGAGGAAGCAACAUAACAUCAAAAGAGCAAGAGUUCUGGCACCCAGAGCAUGUUCCUUCACCCUUCUAGAAUAUUCUUAUGUGGAGUGCUGUUACCUUACAUGAUGCCGUGAAGACCAAAUGAGAAGGCAAGUGUUGUUGAUGUUUGGAAAGGAUAAAGACUUGAGCAAGUUUUCACCUGUGGGAGGCAAUAAAAAGGACAUCCAAGAUGAAGAGGUCAGAAGGCCUUUCAAGAUGUUCCUCAGAUGUUCCCUGCUGGUCUGUGAAGAGCGCAAUUCCCUCAUGCCAAUCUUUAUGGCUAACAAUAUUGCAGUCGCUUUUAGUGACUGGAACACUAGCUUAUAAAAUGUAUACCGCGAGGGCCACCAUCACAGACAAGCAGCUUGGCCCACAGACAUUUGCAGCUACUCCUUUCAUCAGAGAAGACUUCAAACCCACCAGUGCUGUGCAGGGAAAUGGCUCCCUAUGUUCCCUUCCUCUUUCUUUGUGCUUCUGUGAACAGGAUUGGUUCUUGUUCAAGCUUCUGGUUUUACUGUGUUAGAGGGCUCGGAUUACCACAGAGAAUAAAGACCAAAAAGCUCUUUCAGUA
Molecule: non-coding RNA, 661 nt
Organism: Ictidomys tridecemlineatus (thirteen-lined ground squirrel)
Lineage: Eukaryota; Metazoa; Chordata; Mammalia; Rodentia; Sciuridae
Source: RefSeq, a predicted model, not a curated record